UGGGGAAUAUUGCACAAUGGGCGCAAGCCUGAUGCAGCCAUGCCGCGUGUGUGAAGAAGGCCUUCGGGUUGUAAAGCACUUUCAGCGAGGAGGAAGGUGGUGAGCUUAAUACGCUCAUCAAUUGACGUUANUCGCAGAAGAAGCACCGGCUAACUCCGUGCCAGCAGCCGCGGUAAUACGGAGGGUGCAAGCGUAAUCGGAAUUACUGGGCGUAAAGCGCACGCAGGCGGUUUGUUAAGUCAGAUGUGAAAUCCCCGGGCUCAACCUGGAACUGCAUUUGAAACUGGCAAGCUAGAGUCUCGUAGAGGGGGGUAGAAUUCCAGGUGUAGCGGUGAAAUGCGUAGAGAUCUGGAGGAAUACCGGUGGCGAAGGCGGCCCCCCUGGACGAAGACUGACGCUCAGGUGCG
RNAcentral lists this ribosomal RNA (407 nucleotides) under uncultured bacterium. Its description in RNAcentral is "partial 16S ribosomal RNA". It matches the Rfam family "Bacterial small subunit ribosomal RNA", at positions 355 to 755 of the family's 1533-position model. The record is from RNAcentral.